This is a long non-coding RNA of Alligator mississippiensis (American alligator), 4528 nucleotides long. RefSeq lists it as uncharacterized. The record is from RefSeq and is a predicted model, not a curated record. Lineage: Eukaryota; Metazoa; Chordata; Crocodylia; Alligatoridae. The transcript has 2 exons.
AGCUACUAUCUGGCUCUUGUGCCUGAGAGGGGCACAGCCAUGGUGUGGUGAGGUUGGGGAGCCAUGGCAUCACCGGUCCUAAACCAUCCUUGAGCAGCCACCGGUUGGCUCUGCAGCUCGGUCCAUGUUCUGGGUGCAUCUAGAAGCUGCAAAUAUUGCUCAGAUCAGUAAUAGGUGGCCCAGGUGUUGAGUCCCCACUGCACAAGCCUCCAUCCUUUCAUUUCCCACGUGUCUCCUGGACAAGCUGCCAGGCUUGCCUAACCUAGCCAUGCCAGUUUCCAGCCCACUGUGUUUUGAGUGUGGGGCUUUGCCUUUGCCCAGUCAGUUCAUUGUCCUCCGUGACCCUGUGUAAGCCCCUCAGGUUUGCACGUGGCAGACAAGGUGCAAGAUGAAAUAUGUAUGGCACCUCUGGAAGUAGCUGCUUUGACUUGCAGUCCAAGGUUAUUGCUCCCUUUGCUGCACAGAUGCCUUAAGUGAAUUGUGUUGUGUGUUGCGUGUGUGGGUUGUGCAUUUUUUGCUGAGUUGCUAUGGGUUUUUGCAGCUAGGCAUAGAACAAAAGUGUUUGUACGAAAGGUGAAAUAAUGGCAAGGAAGCUGUGAUGUGCCCCCCUCCGUAGAGGUCAGCUAGGGAGAGCUUUGAGCUGCCUGAUUUUAAUCAUGGGCAGCAGGGAAAGGGCUGGAUGAUCUGCGAAUCUUCCAUCCCCAAAUGCUGUGAUCUUCUGUAGGAACAAUCUCCUUCCUCUAGCAGGUAUAGCACACCCCUCCGUAUUCAAAAGCCAAGCCUUGUCAAGUUGAAAUGACACAGACUUGAAUGAGAUUGCGUGUUUGUAGCUGGGGCUGAAAGGCUGGGCUUCAGGGGGUCUCUGCAGGGGCUGAGGUACAGCACGGAAACCAAACCCUCAAAGGCAGUUUGGAUCAGAGUUGCCUGGAAAUUGAAUUCUUUUUCUGGGUUUUGAGGCCUUUCCUCCGGGCUAGGCAGGGGGGAGAUUUUGGAGCAUUUAUAAAUGCUCUGGAAAAAGAUCCUUUCAUACCUCCCCCAGUCACAGGGACUCGGCCUCUUUCCUCGCCCAUCAAGUAUAAUGAUUCACAGCCCAAGCUGAGCCAGCCUUCGCCCACCUUAACGAGGGGGGUCUCCUCAGCCCUUGGCAUAGAGAUGGUGAACAGGGGAAAUUGUGCGGCUCCGCUUUGUCCUUCUGCUGACACUGCCUAGAUCUGGACCAGGCCUGUCAUGCUGAUACAGAUGCCCUGGACUAGUCCUGCUCAUAUAGUCCCAGCUCUUUCUCAGGUGCUUGCCUUGCACCGGACAUGAAAAUAGAUGCAUUUCUGGAGGACAGCUCCAUCAGGGGCUGUUAAUUAAACACAGCAGUCAGGGAUGUGGUUGUGAUGGGGAGGGAUCACUCAGCAAAAGCGUGUUUCUUAUACUCUCCUCUAAAGCAUUUGCUACUUGAUAUUGUCGAAGUACUGAGCUGGCUGGACCUUGGGUAUAACCCAGUCCGGCAGUGCCUGUGUAGCCUUAUGCCCCCCACCUCCUCCCCAAUACACACAUGCGCACGCACACAAGAAAAAAUCUAUCCCAAUUAUCACACGCGUAGGGUGGGGGACUCCUCUCCUUCCCUGAGCAGGAAACCACAUCCUCCUCCCACACUGGGAGCAGAGGCAAGAGGCCCUGGCUGCUUUGGGAAGGAUUCUUCAUGUGACCUUUCCCAAUUUUUCCAUCGGGAAAGGCUUUUGCCCGAGCUCUGCCUAGUGCAUUUGUCUCCUCUCUUCCAUGGCUAGAGCAUGAAGGGUCCUUCCUGCGUUCUUGGAAGGGAAACUCGGCUUUAUAAAUAAACGGAGGUGCUGGCAUGUACAGUGUAAUGUGAACUGAAGGCUAAUUCAGAGCCCUGGAAGGCUUAGGAGCAUACCAAGGAGCUCAGUAACAUGGAGAAAGGGUGAUUUACUGCUCAGCCCGUGGGGAGAGGAUGGGUGCUCCCCAGCUGGCUCAAGGCCUCAGCAAAGGACCAGAGUCAGCGCUUUACAGCAAGCAACUGAGCCACUGGACCCGGGAGGUGAAGGCCUUGCAGAAGGGCCACCCAAAGGGCACCUAAACAGCAAGUUUCCAGCACUUAAGUGGCCUUUUCAGCACAGGUUACAAAUCUGUAAACCUGCAGUGAGGUUGUACAAGUGUGGAUGUGAGGACUGAGCAUAACUCGAGAUGGGGGCUAUCUUAUGUCUUAACUCCAAGACAUAGAAUAGCCUCCUAUGGGUUAGGGUAUCUGCUUAGGAAACGGGGCAGCUGAGUUGUAGGGUCCUCUCACCCAGAGGGGGCUUGUCACUGGGCUCGACCCUGUCUUUACAGCGCUGGGCUCUAACCACUAUGCUGCAGAUUAAGCAUCGUUUUGUCACUGCUCUUUUUAGUGAAACUUAGCCCCUUGCAAUUACUGGUCCUUGGAUAAAAGGGAUCUGCUCCCUUCAAAGCCAGGCUAUGGGUGGGGCUUGCUUCUUUCCAGAGUAGUGCUGGUCUCACUGAGCCAUACCCCUUACUAUGGGCUUGUUCUCUCUCUCCCCUGCCAACCCUGUUCUGGGUGAUCCCCAGUGCCAGCAGGGAGAUCUGCACUGGAGAUGCAGUUCCUGGGAGGCUACCCAUCAGCUGGGCAUGCUUGUGGAGAGGUUUGAAUUAGGAAGCUGUACUUGCUUGUGCCAGCAUGGUGCUCAAGUAGCGUCUGCAGAUCUUUAAGUCCAUCCUUCUCGUACCAGCUGGGCCCCUGGCUUGCCUGUUGUGAUCAGCAAUGGAGGAGUUAAGGACCGACUCUCACAUACCUGCUCAUCACAACUUUGUGAGGCUUGUGUUAAUGCCUCCUGCUCUGGGCUGUUUUCAGGCUCUCUUACACAUGUCGAGUUCACGUGCAGCUUUCAGCAUGGGGCCAGAGCCCAUUCAUUUUUUAAUAGAAAACUGAGCUUCUAGCGCGUGGGCUGGCAGCCUUUGGAAAGUUACCGGCUUGCCAAGCUGGCAAGCACAAACGGCUUCACUUUUCAAACAAUGCUGAGAAUUAAUUUCUCCUUGCCCGAUUCCCCACCCUGAUUUCUUCUCCCAUAGACCAGAGGAAGGAAUGUGGUGGCGUUUGCAUUAAGUAGGCAGCGUGUGGGCUGCUGAAUAAGUCAGGGUCUGUGCCCACCCUGGGUCCCUUCAGGGAAAGUGCGUCAGUCAGGAAGUGAUACAGCGGCUCCUUCGGUACGUGCUCUGUGAGCCAGAGAAAGAGGAGGUUGACCGUGGUGAAUCAGGCUGCAAACCUUCAGGGAGGACUGGAAGCAGAAUGCAUCUGGUUUGCCGCGUGCAUCUCCUUCCCUGCGCUGUGAAGCACAGGGGCUGUAGGUCAGCUCUCUGAAUAGUCUCAGCAUGGUCCGUAGAUGUGUCAGUUCCUCACCCGCGGGAGAGGCGGGCUGGCUUGCUAGUUGUGCGCAUCUCAGUCAAUACAUUGAUUUCUUCUUCUUUCUCUGUACUCAAAUGCACCUUCUCCACAGCGACAGCGCUCGCAGCGGGCUCCCUGCCUGUGGGAGGAAGUGCCUCAGCCUGCAUGCGCUGGGGAUUUUAAUCGCAGCUCCAACCAGGUGCAUGGCACGCCAACAACAGGGGCAGCUGUGUGCAAUAGAAGUGUCUUUUUCUUGCACGUCUCAUCAUCUGUCUUUUGAUCGAACGGCCUGACUGGGUGCCGCUGCAUUAGCCAGACAGCCCGAGUGCCCGGGGGGAGAGGAGGGAACCAGAGAGAGGUCUUUGAUUGCUUUUCUGUAGGCUCCCGGGUCCAGACAUGGCUGCUCUUUCAGCUGUCUAAGCAAGCUGUGAGAAGGCACCUGGAUGGUGAACAAGGCCUAGAGAGCGUGGCCUCUUAGAGGAAACAGGCCAGCCGCUCAUAGUAAAUAGGGUGUAAUUGGUUCUCGCCAGGCAUCUCCUUAGAAACAGCAGAGGAGUGUGCAUGCAUCCAUCCUAUUGCCCUUUGAGUGCCUCUGGCUCAUUAACCCUUCUGCUUCCUAUUAGGUGCUUUAACGAACCACCAGAACAGUGAUUUCAGCUGGCCCCCCUUGAGAGGCCUGUGGAGGCAGGACUACAUGGUGUCCACCAGCAUCUGGAGCAGCCCAGCUCCCUUCACACAAGCGUUGUCUCUCCUGGUCCCUGCUGGCACCUCUGUGGCAGAAAAGCUGGAGAUCCUCUCCACAAAAGGCAUCUCCUCUACACAUCCCUGCUGCUUGGUGUCUUCUGAAUUUGACUAGCAAACUCCACUCAAGCCUUCCGAAAUGAAAAGACUGAACAAGAGGAUCAGACAACCACUUCCAUGAAAAGGAUAUGGGGGCUGCAGCUUUUCAGCAUCGCUUCCUGGAAGGGGAAUCUUGAAUAAUACAGGGACAGCAAGAGCCAAGGGCAGGGACUGAAUGCAUCUGACACAGACCGUGUUUCACCUUUUGAAUGUCCAUGUUAAUACUACAUUUGCAUGUAUUGUCACCUUAAAAUAAAAACCAUCCUAUGAGAGAAUAACCCAAAUCAAAGGGUGACAGAG